This is an RNA transcript of Vigna radiata var. radiata (mung bean), 2489 nucleotides long. It is a transcript of the gene named histone deacetylase 19-like, with no coding region annotated. The record is from RefSeq and is a predicted model, not a curated record. Lineage: Eukaryota; Viridiplantae; Streptophyta; Magnoliopsida; Fabales; Fabaceae. The transcript is spliced from 5 exons.
UCUCACGUUCUUUGCGCGCGUCUUCUCUUUCGUUUCUCAUUUCUUCUCCUAUGCUUCACGUCUUCUCUUAGUUCUCUCUUGGCGCGUCUUCAAAUUAUUAAAACGAGAAAAGGUCUGGUUUGGUCCAAUUGCGAUACAACAUUUUCCAAUCGGAGGAACUAACUAAGAAGAACUGAAGUGAAAAAGCAGAGAGGAGAAGAGAAGAGAAAGUCGCAUGCAUCGACGGCAGCGGACCUUGCUCGGCGCGCGGCGCAGAAGGAGAGGAUUCGAGGAAAACCUCCGCGAGAGGUUCGAGGAAAACAAACACGUGGAAGAUCCUGAUACAAUUGAUAGGCUCAUAGCGGAUGCUGAAGCCUCCUACAAAGUGGCGUCAUCCAGAUCCUUACACAGCCUAGGUACUUAUCACCUUGGCAAAGUUGCCUUUAAUAUCAGAGGUUAAAGGCAAACUGGAAAAGUGUACAAGAAUGUGAAGAGGAAGAUUGAGAGAAGUGUUGCUUUUCCAACAUGUUUAUCAGUAAACAACGUUGUUUGCCAUUUCUCCCCUCUAGCCAGUGACGAGGCAGUUUUGGAAGAAGGUGAUAUAUUGAAAAUUGAUAUGGCUUGUCAUAUAGAUGGUUUCUUUGCUGCGGUGGCUCACACCCAUGUACUUCAGGAUGGUCCUGUUACAGGAAGGGCAGCCAAUGUCAUUGCCGCUGCAAAUACUGCUGCAGAGGUGGCCUUGAGGCUUGUCAGACCAGGAAAGAAGACAUAUGCAGGAGGCUCUGUUGGUGGUGCUCUAAAAUUGAACCAUGGAGUAUGCGAUAUUGCAAUAAAUUGGGCUGGUGGUCUGCAUCAUGCAAAGAAGUGUGAGGCUUCUGGGUUUUGCUAUGUUAAUGACAUUGUGCUGGCUAUUUUGGAACUUCUCAAAAUACAUGAGGUUUCCCAAAUUUAAUUUCCCACAUUAUAUCAUUGAUUUAUGACUAUUCUCAUUUUAAUUCAGGUUGAAUUUAUUCCUUAUAGGACCAACAACUGUAAUUGAUUUCAAAACUGGAAGUGUAUUUUAGAAUAAAGAAGUGAGUACGGUCUAGAGAAAAAAUGGUUAUGCAGAUGGGUUACAAUAGCCUAGUGGUUUGUGGUAGCCUAGUGGUUGGUGGUUAUGCAAACUGCAUUCUUCACCUUUGGUUUUAUCUCUUUUUAUUAACAGAAGCGAUUACGUGGACCCCUCAACCUAUUAGUCAUACAAAAAGUUAUUCAGUGGGCAGAGCUACUUGACUUAUUUGCGCUUUCUGUCUAUCUGAUCCUAUACUCACUCAUUGAUACUGCUCAAAUUCUUCUAAUUUCUUAUCUUUUACACUGGAUCACAGUCUUCAGAUUAUUGUUUGUUUUUAUUUUUGCAGUGAUAGUUUUGACUCAACUAGUGCACUUGAGAAUUCUUUAAAUGCCAAAGAAAAGCAAAUCUCUGAAUUGAACUUGGAACUACACAAUAUUGAAACAACCUUAUCUAAUGAAAGAGAUGAACACAUGAAUGAUGUCAAGAAACUUACUGCAAUGCUCAAUGAAAAGGUAAUAUUAUGGUUUGCAAAAGUCUACAUCAGAUCUCCUUAAUGAUAUUUGGUGGCAUUUUAAGUUAUUGUGGUUUAUGAAUAUGCAUAUAUUUUGAUCCAAUAUAAUGUUUCAAAUUGUACAAGUCCCACAGUAAAUGCAUUUCAGUUAAUAUAUUAGCAAUUCCGUCUGCAUCAUUUCAUGGCACAUAGUUUUGUUCUUUCAUGUUCAUGAGACUCUGAAACUACUUUUUAACUAUUCCUGUCACAAAAUUCUCAAUUCAAAUUGUGGUUUGGUAUUUAGGUCUGUGAACCUUCACUUUAAUUCUCCUUGUCUUGCAAAAGAUACUAAGAUACUAUAUGAUAAUUUCUAAUGCCAAUGUCUUGUGUUAAUCUGUUUGUUGGAACGAGAUAUUCAAAAAGAUAAAAGAAAUGGAAAAGAAUGCUUCUGAAGGCAGUCUUGCUGAAGGUGGGGUAGAAAAGGGCUACGCAUCUGGGUCUGAUAUGUUUGGUUUCUCCAAUCCUAAGGUGCUUAAACUUAUACAGGUAUGUUGUUUAAUUAUAAGUUAGUUCUUUUAUUUUUUAUCUGGAGCAUAAAGUCAAUAAUUUGGAAACUAAUAGAAUUAUCCUGAAAAUAUUAUAAUUUAUUUCACGUAAGACAUAGUAAGCAGUAAAAUGUUUUGUUUUUGAUAUAACUGAACGGUGUUAUCAAUUCAUAUAGUAGGAUAGAACACAUUAUCAAUUGAUUGUUUUAGUCGUUAUUGAUUAUUUAUAUUAUAUUCUGGGAUUGAAUUUUAUGCAGGUAUGAAUAUGGAUAGUAACAAAUAUAAAUCUAAUAUUAAAAAUAAACUUAACUUUUUACACUGGUUCAAGUCAUAUCAUGUAUAAAAUGUUUUGUUUUUUUCACAUCUGUUCUGGUACCAACAGGUAUAAAAGACAAAAUUACUGUAAAAAAAUGAAAAUUUUCUA